GGGGUGCCCUUAUAUUUUUUAACUUUGCCCUAUUUGUUAGUCACGCUGUCCAAUUCCUUUCUCCUUUAUAAUCCCUAACGUCAGAAGAGGCAACAGCAGCAGCAGCAGAAAAACAAGAAUUUGAAUGAUGUCGAGUCUUCCUGAAGACAUCAUCAUCAACAUCUUAACAAGGUUACCACUAAAAUCUCUCUUAAGAUUCAGGUGUGUUUGCAAAUCUUGGUCUAAUAAUCUCUUUACAAACCCUAAUUUUAUUAAGCUACAAUUUUAUCAUUCUCUUAAACAUCAUAAUCCUGGUAUCUUAAUUGACCACACCGAUGCCAACAUCUGUUACGCAGAUUAUGAUUCGGUAUCAUCAGCAGUAUCCACUCAGGUUAUUGAGAUAGAUUAUCCGGUGGAAUAUAAAAAAAUUCUGAUUCUAGAUGUGUGUAAUGGGUUGAUAUGCUACAUAACAGAGAUUAAAGAUAUUAUCAUCUGGAACCCGUUACCAAAGUUCACAGGAAAAUACCAGAUCCACCAGAAUCAACAAGUUUAAACACCAAAUAUCCCAUGAUUCAGUAUGGAUUCGGUUAUGAUGUGAAAUCGGAGGAUUAUAAGUUUGCAAGAAUUGUCAAUCAUCAAUCUAGGUACAGUGAAUUGAGUGUUUUUUCAUUUCGAACCAAUGCACGGAAGAUUAUGGUGGACAUCCCUUUUUUAUAUCCAUGGGGGCAACUAGUACUUCUCAAUGGAAUUUUUCAUUGAGUAGAAAGUCCCACUCUCGACAGUGGAUUGCCAAGAGUAAUAGCUUCUUUUGAUCUUGUAAGCGAGACAUUCAAAGAAAUCCAACUACCACAAGAGUUAUUAGACAGGCGUAAAUUUUCUGUGUUAAAUUUGUGGCUUUUUGAAGGUUGCCUCUACCUGACUGGUAGCAUGUAUAUGGUUGGUGUUGAGGUGUGGACGAUGAAAAUGUAUGGCGUUAAAGAGUCUUGGACUAAAUAAUUGAUGGCGAAGCAUUUGGAGGAGUUGGGUAUAUUGACUUGAAAAACUCUCUCGGGAAUGGUGUGAUUCCGGUUCAGCGAGACUAUCUAUAUCCUUACAUAUAUGAUCUCAACAAGGAAGAAGCUAGACAACUUAAAAUCGAUGGCAUUAAGCCACCGUUCUUCACACGGGCUUUCUUAGGGAGCUUAAUAUCACCUACUUUUGGUACUUGUUUGGAGGCACAAUAGGACACAAGAUGCUUAAGAAGGACAAAGAACCAGAGUUUACAGUCAUCCUUAAACAGUAAAGGACUCCAAGUAUUACUGUGAUUGAUAAUGUGGUGGUGGCUGGAAAUUUGGGGAAGUCUAUAUGGUCCCUGGAUGUCAUCCCCGGAGUUCAGGUUGUAUUUUGAAGUUAAUUUAUGAUAUUCUACUGUUUCAUCAAAGGUAAGUGUCUGAAAUGCUGAUGUAUUUCCUAUCUACGUUGUUGUUUUAUUAGAAAUGUUUGGUUUGGUUAGGUUCAAAUUGUACUGAUUGCCCAAAUGUGCCCUGGUCUCAGCUAUGUGCAUCCAUUAGCUGCAUAUAUGGAAAGUUAGAUAUGUCUUUAGACUUUAAGUGUUUCAAUAUUUACCUGCUGUUAUGAUAUAUCACAAGUGCACAACCCUCGUCCGAAUCCUACAGAAAGAAAACCUUAGCUAUAAGCCUAUAACGUGUUUGUGCCUCUCUUACUUCAAUAUUCUCUAAAGCAGGUGUGGAUUUUUUUUCUUGUUGGUGAAGGAGAACAGAAUGACUUUUUUGGAGGAAGGCAUAUCUUUAGGAGCUUUAGCAGCAGCAAUGUGGGCAUCUUUUGAGGUAGAAGACAGCAAACUGACCAAACGAUUCAGAAGGGAGAAUCAUAUACCAGAAUUCCCUACCUACUUGUACAACUGGAAACAAUGUGGACUGGUUGGGAAUGAGCCUCAUUAUCAAACAGUUGUAAAACAUGUUGCUCAGUAGCCAUUAGAUCAUGACUGUGUCAGACUCACAAAUCACAAUAGUGUUACAACUUGAAGGCAUUGUAAAAUCAAAAGUUUGUUGGGCUUUUCUGGUAAAAGUUGGGCCAUCCAACACUAGAAUUUCAAAUUUCUCCCUAUGCACGAACCGUGAUUUAGGGCAUACCAAAAAGUUUCAG
Molecule: long non-coding RNA, 2124 nt
Organism: Papaver somniferum (opium poppy)
Lineage: Eukaryota; Viridiplantae; Streptophyta; Magnoliopsida; Ranunculales; Papaveraceae
Exons: 3
Source: RefSeq, a predicted model, not a curated record